This 468-nucleotide ribosomal RNA is filed under the name uncultured bacterium. RNAcentral's name for it is "partial 16S ribosomal RNA". It matches the Rfam family "Bacterial small subunit ribosomal RNA", at positions 28 to 507 of the family's 1533-position model. The record is from RNAcentral.
GACGAACGCUGGCGGCGUGCUUAACACAUGCAAGUCGAACGGAAAGGCCCUGCUUUUGGGGGGUGCUCGAGUGGCGAACGGGUGAGUAACACGUGAGUAACCUGCCCUUGACUUUGGGAUAACUUCAGGAAACUGGGGCUAAUACCGGAUAGGAGCUCCUGCUGCAUGGUGGGGGUUGGAAAGUUUCGGCGGUUGGGGAUGGACUCGCGGCUUAUCAGCUUGUUGGUGGGGUAGUGGCUUACCAAGGCUUUGACGGGUAGCCGGCCUGAGAGGGUGACCGGCCACGUUGGGACUGAGAUACGGCCCAGACUCCUACGGGAGGGAGCAGUGGGGAGUAUUGCACAAUGGGCGGAAGCCUGGUGCAGCAACGCCGCGUGCGGGGUGACGGCCUUCGGUUUGUAAACCGCUUUCGCCUGUGACGAAGCGUGAGUGACGGUAAUGGGUAAAGAAGCACCGGCUAACUACGUG